Molecule: ribosomal RNA, 212 nt
Filed under: uncultured anaerobic ammonium-oxidizing bacterium
Lineage: Bacteria
Description: partial 16S ribosomal RNA
Source: RNAcentral
CCCUUCCGCACUCUAGCCUUGCAGUAUCAGAUGCUGUUCUUCCGUUAAGCAGAAGGCUUUCACAACUGACUUACAAAGCCGCCUACGUGCUCUUUACGCCCAAUAAUUCCGAACAACGCUUGCCGCCUCUGUAUUACCGCGGCUGCUGGCACAGAGUUAGCCGUGGCUUCCUCCGGAGCCUUAGUCAAGUAAGGAUACUAUUAACACCCUUA